Molecule: ribosomal RNA, 509 nt
Filed under: uncultured bacterium
Lineage: Bacteria
Description: partial 16S ribosomal RNA
Rfam family: Bacterial small subunit ribosomal RNA
Source: RNAcentral
GACGAACGCUGGCGGCGCGCUUAACACAUGCAAGUCGAGCGAGAUCCAGGCCUUAGGGCCUGGGGACAGCGGCGAACGGGUGAGUAACACGUGGGUAAUCAACCCUCGACACUGGGAUAGCCCGGGGAAACCCGGGUUAAUACCGGAUGGCCCUUUGGAUCUUCGGAUCUGACGGGAAAGGUAGCUUCGGCCUCCGGUCGAGGACGAGCCCGCGGCGGAUUAGCUUGUUGGUGAGGUAACGGCUCACCAUGGCGACGAUCCGUAGCUGGUCUGAGAGGACGAUCCGCCACACUGGGACUGAGACACGGCCCAGACUCCUACGGGAGGCAGCAGUGGGGAAUCUUGCGCUAAUGCGGGAAACCGUGACGCAGCGACGCCGCGUGAGGGAAGAAGGCCUUCGGGUUGUAAACCUCUUUCAGGAGGGACGAAGCCACUCGGGUGAAUAGCCCAGAGGGUGACGGUACCUCCAGAAGAAGCCCCGGCUAACUACGUGCCAGCCGCCGCAGUAA